CCUACGGGUGGCAGCAGUCGAGAAUCAUUCACAAUGGGGGAAACCCUGAUGGUGCGACGCCGCGUGGGGGAAUGAAGGUCUUCGGAUUGUAAACCCCUGUCAUGUGGGAGCAAAUUAAAAAGAUAGUACCACAAGAGGAAGAGACGGCUAACUCUGUGCCAGCAGCCGCGGUAAUACAGAGGUCUCAAGCGUUGUUCGGAAUCACUGGGCGUAAAGCGUGCGUAGGCGGUUGCGGAAGUCGUGGGUGAAAGGCGCGGGCUCAACCCGCGGACGGCACAUGAUACUGCGAGACUAGAGUAAGGGAGGGGGAACCGGAAUUCUCGGUGUAGCAGUGAAAUGCGUAGAUAUCGAGAGGAACACUCGUGGCGAAGGCGGGUUCCUGGACAUUAACUGACGCUGAGGCACGAAGGCCAGGGGAGCGAAAGGGAUUAGAUACCCCAGUAGUC
Molecule: ribosomal RNA, 446 nt
Filed under: uncultured bacterium
Lineage: Bacteria
Description: partial 16S ribosomal RNA
Rfam family: Bacterial small subunit ribosomal RNA
Source: RNAcentral